Long non-coding RNA from Erpetoichthys calabaricus (reedfish), 159 nucleotides. RefSeq lists it as uncharacterized. The transcript is spliced from 3 exons. NCBI's taxonomy places the organism in Eukaryota, Metazoa, Chordata, Cladistia, Polypteriformes, Polypteridae. The record is from RefSeq and is a predicted model, not a curated record.
UACUUUCUGUAUUGGUAGUUUGAGCAGCUGUUGUAGUUUGGGCAGUGGUAGGUCUUUCUAUUGUUGUGUAAGUUUGAUAUCCUGUUGUUGUUUUAGCUAUUGCAGUACUUUGGGUUGUGGUAGGUGUUUCUGUUUUUGUAGAAAUUUCUGGUGUUGUUG